AUUUAUCGGAGAGUUUGAUCCUGGCUCAGGACGAACGCUGGCGGCGUGCCUAAUACAUGCAAGUCGAGCGGACAGAUGGGAGCUUGCUCCCUGAUGUUAGCGGCGGACGGGUGAGUAACACGUGGGUAACCUGCCUGUAAGACUGGGAUAACUCCGGGAAACCGGGGCUAAUACCGGAUGGUUGUCUGAACCGCAUGGUUCAGACAUAAAAGGUGGCUUCGGCUACCACUUACAGAUGGACCCGCGGCGCAUUAGCUAGUUGGUGAGGUAACGGCUCACCAAGGCGACGAUGCGUAGCCGACCUGAGAGGGUGAUCGGCCACACUGGGACUGAGACACGGCCCAGACUCCUACGGGAGGCAGCAGUAGGGAAUCUUCCGCAAUGGACGAAAGKCUGACGGAGCAACGCCGCGUGAGUGAUGAAGGUUUUC
This 430-nucleotide ribosomal RNA is filed under the name Bacillus velezensis. RNAcentral describes it as "bacterial SSU rRNA". It matches the Rfam family "Bacterial small subunit ribosomal RNA", at positions 1 to 419 of the family's 1533-position model. The record is from RNAcentral. Lineage: Bacteria; Bacillati; Bacillota; Bacilli; Caryophanales; Bacillaceae.